Molecule: ribosomal RNA, 465 nt
Filed under: Vreelandella stevensii
Lineage: Bacteria; Pseudomonadati; Pseudomonadota; Gammaproteobacteria; Oceanospirillales; Halomonadaceae
Description: partial 16S ribosomal RNA
Rfam family: Bacterial small subunit ribosomal RNA
Source: RNAcentral
CCUACGGGUGGCUGCAGUGGGGAAUAUUGGACAAUGGGGGCAACCCUGAUCCAGCCAUGCCGCGUGUGUGAAGAAGGCCCUCGGGUUGUAAAGCACUUUCAGUGAGGAAGAACGCCUGGUGGUUAAUACCCAUCAGGAAAGACAUCACUCACAGAAGAAGCACCGGCUAACUCCGUGCCAGCAGCCGCGGUAAUACGGAGGGUGCGAGCGUUAAUCGGAAUUACUGGGCGUAAAGCGCGCGUAGGUGGCUUGAUAAGCCGGUUGUGAAAGCCCCGGGCUCAACCUGGGAACGGCAUCCGGGACUGUCAAGCUAGAGUGCAGGAGAGGAAGGUAGAAUUCCCGGUGUAGCGGUGAAAUGCGUAGAGAUCGGGAGGAAUACCAGUGGCGAAGGCGGCCUUCUGGACUGACACUGACACUGAGGUGCGAAAGCGUGGGUAGCAAACAGGAUUAGAUACCCUAGUAGUC